RNAcentral lists this ribosomal RNA (602 nucleotides) under Trichoderma sp. RNAcentral describes it as "eukaryotic LSU rRNA". The stretch from base 216 to 369 matches the Rfam family "5.8S ribosomal RNA". Lineage: Eukaryota; Fungi; Ascomycota; Sordariomycetes; Hypocreales; Hypocreaceae. The record is from RNAcentral.
UCUCCGUUGGUGAACCAGCGGAGGGAUCAUUACCGAGUUUACAACUCCCAAACCCAAUGUGAACCAUACCAAACUGUUGCCUCGGCGGGGUCACGCCCCGGGUGCGUCGCAGCCCCGGAACCAGGCGCCCGCCGGAGGACCAACCAAACUCUUUCUGUAGUCCCCUCGCGGACGUUAUUUCUUACAGCUCUGAGCAAAAAUUCAAAAUGAAUCAAAACUUUCAACAACGGAUCUCUUGGUUCUGGCAUCGAUGAAGAACGCAGCGAAAUGCGAUAAGUAAUGUGAAUUGCAGAAUUCAGUGAAUCAUCGAAUCUUUGAACGCACAUUGCGCCCGCCAGUAUUCUGGCGGGCAUGCCUGUCCGAGCGUCAUUUCAACCCUCGAACCCCUCCGGGGGGUCGGCGUUGGGGAUCGGGAACCCCUAAGACGGGAUCCCGGCCCCGAAAUACAGUGGCGGUCUCGCCGCAGCCUCUCCUGCGCAGUAGUUUGCACAACUCGCACCGGGAGCGCGGCGCGUCCACGUCCGUAAAACACCCAACUUCUGAAAUGUUGACCUCGGAUCAGGUAGGAAUACCCGCUGAACUUAAGCAUAUCAAUAAGCGGG